CUUUCCAACAGAGUCAGAGACAAACUUACAGGUCGAGACUUUUCCCAUGAUGAGACGCUGGAUGUGCCAACACAAGUAGAGCUCCUCAUAAAGCAAGCCACAUCACAUGAGAACCUGUGCCAGUGCUACAUUGGAUGGUGUCCAUUUUGGUGAUGAGGUGUCUUUGGCAGCCAAGAAGAAGCACUCAAAUAGGUAUCCACUGAACAAUAUAUUAAGCCACAGUGCGGAGCUGCUAAGAAGGUUUUUCUUUAUAAUAUAGUCAUUGCUUCAAAUGGCUUUCUUUGCUUUAAUGAUUUCUACAGUGGCCAUAUUUUAAUAAGUUAUGACAUUUCAUACUUCACACACUGUAUGCUACUUAGAGAACCACCUGCCUGUUGUAUUAUUGUGUAUUAAUGUGACAAGUUUCUAAUACUUGAUUUGCUUUUUACUAACUUAAACAUUCUUCAAGGGUCACUAUUGAUAAGACAUAAGUGAAAUUUGAUUUGAAGUAUAAUGCACUGUAUGGGCAUCUGUGUGCCAAUAAACCCUGUGCAGAUACCA
This is a long non-coding RNA of Monopterus albus (swamp eel), 540 nucleotides long. RefSeq lists it as uncharacterized. The transcript has 3 exons. NCBI's taxonomy places the organism in Eukaryota, Metazoa, Chordata, Actinopteri, Synbranchiformes, Synbranchidae. The record is from RefSeq and is a predicted model, not a curated record.